This 1864-nucleotide long non-coding RNA is filed under the name Nicotiana benthamiana. RNAcentral describes it as "long non-coding RNA (NBEN_LNC026774)". Lineage: Eukaryota; Viridiplantae; Streptophyta; Magnoliopsida; Solanales; Solanaceae. The record is from RNAcentral.
CUAAUUGUUUGGCCCUGAACAAUAUAAGUUGAUCCUAUGUGACUUAUGGAAGUAGCAUUUUCUGUAGAUAGUUGAAUUGUACCAUUCUUACCAUUAUUCAACCUCUUAGGAUUGACUAAUAAGCUAAGACUAUGCACCAUAUGACUCGAGGCACUUGAAUCCACUAUCCACUUAGCCAACAUUUCUGGAGUCACGACAUAAGAUGUUAUACCUGCUGGCAAAGGUGUAGUUAUAGUUGAGUUGUUCCCUCACUUACUUUUCCUAGUAGCUGAUUUAUCUGUUGGUACUGUUCUUGAGUGCACUGUGGAAUAUUGAGCAUCACAUUCGGUGUCCCCUGUCCAGACAUUGCAUCUUGUUGAACUUGUGAGGUACCUGCAAAAUUAGCUAUGAAACUUUGAUUGUUCCCUAUAACACUUGUUACCUUAUUAGUAAAAUCAGUUGUAUAUCCUGAUCCAACUUUCUUCUUAGUCUUAAAGUAUGGAGGAUAUCCAUUAAUUUAUAACAUGUCUCCCUAGUGUUCCCUAUAAAGUUGCAAUAAUCACAGCACAUAGUUUUCUUCUUUGACUUGUAGUUGCUUCCUAUAGUAUAAUUAUGCCCACUAGGAUAAUUGUUGUUGAGUCCUCUGGUAUGAGUAUGAUUUCCUUUGGCAUUAUUGUACCCUUUAUCACUAAACAUACCAGUAUUGUUUUUUGAUAGGAAUUUGCUACUAAACAAGGCAGUGCCUUCAGCAACUUUAGAAACAUUUGAUGAAUGGCACAUAGAUCUUCUGCUUCCUAGGUGAUACGAUCAUAGCAUAGGCUUUGUUGACAGAAGGAACAUGCAACAUGUUCAAACUUUGAUUGCUUGAUUGAGAAUAGGACUCAUUUAUCCCCACAAGAAACUGUAGUAACAUUUGAUACUGGAAAUGUUCAACAUUUGUUUUUUGAUUCAUCACAUCCUCACCCAAGCCAAGUCAUAAGAGCAUCAAACUCUGCCUAGAAUUCCUUCAAUUUAGAGAGGUAAGUAGACAUGGAUUAUAUCCCCCUGGGUUAAUGUAGGAAUCUUCUUAUGAAGGUAUAACACACGAGAGCCAGUGACUUUAUCAAAUAUCUCCUUGAGAUCCAUCUAAAGCUUGUGAGCACUCGAGGCAUACACCAUACCACUCAAUAAUUCAGCACUUAUUGAGUUCAUAAUCUAAGAGAGUACUAUUGUAUUGCAUUUUCCCACAAUUCAUGAAGAGACACAUCAAAUAUUUCCUUAGGAUAUCUACCAUGCACAAACCCCAGCUUACUUUUUCCCUAGUAAACUAACACGCGUUGCAUUACUCCAUAUUGUAUAGUUUUCAGGUCCAACUAAUUUGACUUAAAUCAAAGGACUACCUGGAGUAUCACAUGGCUGAAGAAAGAGAGGAUGAUAUUUAUCAAUUGAAGUGGGCUACCGCCAGCAACUGCUAUGCUUAUGUAAAUUUCUUCAUUCUCGACCACCAUUGUUAAUGAGGCACUCGAGCUUAGAUGAAGAAGCAUAAAAUGAAUAGGAAACUAUUAAUUGCUCGAAUCAUCCCUAACUUUGAAGAUACCAAAGAAUUUAUCAGAACAAAAACACUAAGGCAACUUAGAUUUAGGUAACUAAUAACAAAGCGUGAAUCAUAAACAUGAGCUAUGAUACCAUGAUGAAAGCCUAGAUCUAAUCUGAGCUGCUAAACUGAGAACGAAGCAGAGGCGGUUACACGCUAAUGGAGAAGAAAGAGUUCCUUCAUUUUCUGUUAUUUUCUGUUAGAAACAUUGUACACUAACCAUGUAUAUACAAAAAAUAGCUACUAACACCUAUUUAACAAACUAAACCUUCCACUAACUUAGCUUAGCUGACAUCCAACUGUACAUUCCAC